GACACCGAGGCAAAGGAAGGCCACCAAGAAAGUUUUCUGACAAUUUGCAUAGAGGCGACAGAAAAUGGCUCAAUGAAAGUCGCAGAUAGAAAAACCUCCUUUGGAAUUAGUCCAAUUUUAAGAAAGUUCAAGUAAAAGAAGUUGGAUUUUGCUAAUUCCAUAACUUAAAAGUAACUGUACUAUAGAGAAAGUUUUAUUUAAAUCCUUGAAACAUCAAUUUGGGAAAUAUUUGCCAAAUCCUGUGCAAGAGAUCAAAUAGAUUCAGACAUGUCCCUGACCUUGAGAAACUCACAAUCUACAAAUACGAGGCUGUUAUAAUGUACAAAAAUAACAGUAACACCAAGGAGGAAGAGAUUCCCUCCAACCAGGGGAGCCAGACCUUACGAAGAAGCAGCCAAAUUUCACAAGCAUUCAUGCCAAAGAGCACUACAGGCAUUAACACAGGAAUAACACAUCACGCAGCAUAGUGGAGCCAUCAAUUUGUCAGGGUAGGGGAGGAAAGAUAGGUGAUGAUGAAAAUGUCAGUCAUGGUUAUGAAGGGCCUUGAAAGGCAGACCUAGAAAUUGGGCUUUAUCCUGAAAGCAAUACAGGCAGUCCAUUUGGGGUCCCCAGUCCAUUUUCAGUAAGGUUACUUUACACAAGAUUUCCAUGUGGAUCAGAAACUGAUCUGUUGUAAAAAGUAAGGGAUAUCACAACUAUCAUUCUUUGUUCUCCUGAGACAGCCACCCAAAACCCUACUGGCAUCCUCUGGACCUUCAGAAGGGCCUCAGCCUGAAGUCCCUACAUGGUCUCCACAGAAGGGGACUUGGAGAUUACAUUUGAUAUUUGGGGGCACUAAGGUCUGAGAAGUACGGCAGGUAUCAGAACUAGAGCCUGGCACUACCUCUCUCACACCCUUUCCUCUAGGAGAGACCCAGGAUACCACAGCUAUCUGUGCACACGUAUCCAAACUGCCCAUGGUCUCCACAGAACGGAGUUCCCUUGUGAUAGAUUCACAGAGGGGACCUGGGACAAGUCUCUCUUCUUUUCACUCCAUGAGGCUCAGCAGGCCACUGCCUUCCCUACAUGCUUCCACCAUACACCUAAGAUGUAGGAGGGCAGCAGAAACAGUGUGAGCAGCCCUGGCUGUAUCAUGCCCAGGCAGCCCCCAAGUACCCCCUGUCAACUCCUGGGGCUCUGUCGAGAAAUCUGAAAAACACUGGUCUAACAGAUUCCCAUAGUUCAGUAUCUAUGCUCAAGUGAAAAGGUUAGUAUGCUAGGCGGAGAAUCUAUGUCUCCACUGAGCAAGACAACAGAACCUUCUGAUGUCUGUCACAUUAAGGAUAGGAAAGAGCCAAGACUCACUCCCAACUCAUGAGUCUGGGUCUAAGCCCUAAUUUUCCUGCAGUUGUACACACACUCAUGAAGC
Long non-coding RNA from Galeopterus variegatus (Sunda flying lemur), 1408 nucleotides. RefSeq lists it as uncharacterized. NCBI's taxonomy places the organism in Eukaryota, Metazoa, Chordata, Mammalia, Dermoptera, Cynocephalidae. The transcript has 3 exons. The record is from RefSeq and is a predicted model, not a curated record.